Molecule: ribosomal RNA, 316 nt
Filed under: Pedospumella encystans
Lineage: Eukaryota; Chrysophyceae; Chromulinales; Chromulinaceae
Description: SSU rRNA
Rfam family: Eukaryotic small subunit ribosomal RNA
Source: RNAcentral
CGAGUCUUCCUUGUCCGAAAGGUCCGGGUAAUCUUGUAAAUGUGUGUCGUGAUAGGGAUAGAUUAUUGCAAUUAUUAAUCUUGAACGAGGAAUUCCUAGUAAAUGCGAGUCAUCAGCUCGCGUUGAUUACGUCCCUGCCCUUUGUACACACCGCCCGUCGCACCUACCGAUUGAAUGAUUCGGUGAAACUUUCGGACCGUGGACAGGACGCUCUCGGGCGACUUGACCGUGGGAAGUUAUUUAAACCUCAUCAUUUAGAGGAAGGUGAAGUCGUAACAAGGUUUCCGUAGGUGAACCUGCGGAAGGAUCAUUACCA